This is a long non-coding RNA of Maniola jurtina (meadow brown), 234 nucleotides long. RefSeq lists it as uncharacterized. The record is from RefSeq and is a predicted model, not a curated record. The transcript is spliced from 3 exons. Lineage: Eukaryota; Metazoa; Arthropoda; Insecta; Lepidoptera; Nymphalidae.
GGGCAUGAGACGGAUCUGCCCGCGAAAUUCAAAUUUAUUUUGGUUUUUCGCAAUUUGUAAACUAAUACGACAAAGUAGGCUUAUGGGACUUGAAUUGCGCCAAUAGCAGAAUCAUCCUCACAGGUUUAUAUAAAAAUCUUUACUUGAAAGGGUCUAGUUUAAGAAAUUAGCUAUAGUAUCGACUAAUUUUUUUUUCAAUAUUUGCCAUGUUAAAUGACUAAUAUUCCCCUUUCC